CGCUCCGACCCUUGGCCCCUGAGCCAGCAGCGGCCGCAGAGCGCUGAGAGGGGACCGGCGGGACUGGCCGCCCGCCCUGCUCGGGCCCCCUCCUCUCGCUUGCCUUUCUCCUUGCUCGCUGCCUCCGGGCUGCUCCAGCGGGGGCCGGACAGGGCAGCGGCCGCUCUCCGCGACGCCCUCGCGCUCCGCAUGCACACCUCCGCGGGCCCCCACACCUGCGGCGCCGCCACAAAGUUCCCGCGAGCGGCGUGCGCUCGGAACUGGGGUGCGCCCCGGGCAGACUCGGAGCAGCUCCCCAGCCCGGCUCCGCUCCACGUACCCCCGCCCCGCCCGGGGCCCGCGGAGCCGAGCGGAGGGGGUGAAGGGACGGGGGAGGAGCUCCCCUGGGCCGCCGCACCCCCGCGGCCUCGUCCUCCUUCUCGGCCGCGCCGCCUCCUCGCUCGCCGCGGCUCCCCGGCCCGCUCGCCCAGUUGCAGCCUGGCCGCCCCACCCCCGGAACCUCGCCUCCUUCCGCGCCCCCAACCGCUCUCCCCCCAAACUUUCCGCCAAGAUGGCGGCCUCCGAGCUGGCCUGCCGCGCUCCCACGUGACCGCUUUCCCAGUGCUCUCAGCCAAUGGUGGCCCGGGGUGGCCCUGGAGGAGCCCGCCUUUACCUUGCCCUAGCCCACCGGCGUGUCCCGCAGUUCCGAGCUAAACGCGGCAGGCCGGGAAGGCUCGGGCUGUCUGAAGAGAGGCGUGACCUCGCCUACACCAGAUCCAAGGCGCACAUUCCGAGACACCUCUCAACCUCACUCAACACGUGCCGUUUCCAACUCCGAGGCAGAGGCAGCGCCUGGCGACCCCGGGGCCUGCGUCCCAGCCCGGUCAGCAUCGCAGAUGUUACCCAAACUCUGACGGUCCCUUUAAGAACUCACCUGGAGUCGCGCCCUCCGAAGCUGAGCCGCCGUCGGCCAGCGCUGCAGGAAAGUUUGUCUGAGAAGGAAAUCGCAAAGCUGAAGCCUUGGGACUUGAAAAUUCAAAUCUUCAGUCUUUGUUUAUGGUCUGUAGCAGGCAAACAACUUCAAAUUUCUCAAGGUUCCUUGGUUAAACAUGAACGAGUGGAUGAAGAGAACACCUCAGCAAUAAAUAUAAUGCCUGGAAAAGAAUUUUACUAAGAAUAAUGUUUAUAUGCCACUUUUUUAUUUUUUAAAAAAUUUCUCAGUACCUCUGAAGAUUUGUGACACUAUUGUUAGAACCAUUAUUUUUUAAAUGAUACAUAUAACUACUUGCCUAGUAUGGUUUCUCUUUCUUUCUCUUUCAAUUAUCUUCAGUUUUCUAAUCUAGACCACAAAGUUCUCCAUUAAUAAAGUUGGCAAACAAAGUGUCUGA
RNAcentral lists this long non-coding RNA (1367 nucleotides) under Pongo abelii (Sumatran orangutan). RNAcentral's name for it is "lncRNA (ENSPPYG00000035333.1)". The record is from RNAcentral. Lineage: Eukaryota; Metazoa; Chordata; Mammalia; Primates; Hominidae.